Heterocephalus glaber (naked mole-rat) is the source of this 101-nucleotide small nuclear RNA. The record is from Ensembl. Lineage: Eukaryota; Metazoa; Chordata; Mammalia; Rodentia; Bathyergidae.
ACAUUUUGGCAACGUGUGUAAUAAAAUUGGAAGGAUAUAGAGAAAACUAGCAAUGGCCUCCACAAAAUGAUGACACAUGAAACAAAGUUCACAAAAUGUUC